RNAcentral lists this ribosomal RNA (447 nucleotides) under uncultured bacterium. RNAcentral's name for it is "bacterial SSU rRNA". It matches the Rfam family "Bacterial small subunit ribosomal RNA", at positions 355 to 825 of the family's 1533-position model. The record is from RNAcentral.
UCGGGAAUUUUGGGCAAUGGGCGAAAGCCUGACCCAGCAACGCCGCGUGAAGGAUGAAGUAUUUCGGUAUGUAAACUUCGAAAGAAUAGGAAGAAUAAAUGACGGUACUAUUUAUAAGGUCCGGCUAACUACGUGCCAGCAGCCGCGGUAAUACGUAGGGACCAAGCGUUGUUCGGAUUUACUGGGCGUAAAGGGCGCGUAGGCGGCAAUUCAAGUCAUCUGUGAAAUCUCCGGGCUUAACUCGGAACGGUCAGAUGAUACUGCUUUGCUAGAGUGCAGAAGGGGCAAUCGGAAUUCUUGGUGUAGCGGUGAAAUGCGUAGAUAUCAAGAGGAACACCUGAGGUGAAGACGGGUUGCUGGGCUGACACUGACGCUGAGGCGCGAAAGCCAGGGGAACAAACGGGAUUAGAUACCCGCGUAGUCCCUGAGCGGGCUGGCAAGGCGCAU